This 254-nucleotide ribosomal RNA is filed under the name uncultured bacterium. RNAcentral describes it as "partial 16S ribosomal RNA". It matches the Rfam family "Bacterial small subunit ribosomal RNA", at positions 524 to 776 of the family's 1533-position model. The record is from RNAcentral.
UACGUAGGGUGCGAGCGUUGUCCGGAAUUACUGGGCGUAAAGAGCUCGUAGGUGGUUUGUCGCGUUGUUCGUGAAAACUCACAGCUCAACUGUGGGCGUGCGGGCGAUACGGGCAUCACUGGAGUUCGGCAGGGGAGACUGGAAUUCCUGGUGUAGCGGUGAAAUGCGCAGAUAUCAGGAGGAACACCGGUGGCGAAGGCGGGUCUCUGGGCCGAUACUGACGCUGAGGAGCGAAAGCGUGGGGAGCGAACAGG